This 253-nucleotide ribosomal RNA is filed under the name uncultured bacterium. Its description in RNAcentral is "partial 16S ribosomal RNA". It matches the Rfam family "Bacterial small subunit ribosomal RNA", at positions 524 to 776 of the family's 1533-position model. The record is from RNAcentral.
UACGGGGGGGGCAAGCGUUGUUCGGAAUUACUGGGCGUAAAGGGCUCGUAGGCGGCCAACUAAGUCAGACGUGAAAUCCCCAGGCUUAACCUGGGAACUGCGUCUGAUACUGGGUGGCUUGAAUCCGGGAGAGGGAUGCGGAAUUCCAGGUGUAGCGGUGAAAUGCGUAGAUAUCUGGAGGAACACCGGUGGCGAAGGCGGCAUCCUGGACCGGCAUUGACGCUGAGGCGCGAAGGCGUGGGGAGCGAACGGG